GCUUACAUCCAUACCACCCUGUCUGCGUCUGAUCUCGGAAACUAAGCAGGGUCGGGGCUGGUUAGUACUUGGAUGGGAGACCGACUGGGAAUACCAGGUGCUCUAAGCU
RNAcentral lists this ribosomal RNA (109 nucleotides) under Sinocyclocheilus anshuiensis. Lineage: Eukaryota; Metazoa; Chordata; Actinopteri; Cypriniformes; Cyprinidae. The record is from RNAcentral.